CAGUUAAGGUAGGAAAAAAAGGAGAAAUGUUAAGUCUUGAUGCUAGGCUAGUCAAAGGAAAGUGUGCUUUCUGGGACAAAAGCCGAUCUUCUUAAUUGCGUUGGUUACCAACUUACCAUCAUGUGUAUCUGCCGAUAUGGCCCAAUAUGCUGUGUACUUUAGUCCUAGAAUUAGGUACUUGCUAUGCAUAGCCCAAGCACAUAUGAUGAAUCUUCCGCAUUCAUCCAUCUAAAUUGGUUAGUCCGCUUCAAGGAUUUUCGCUCAGGAGAAGAUGAGGGUGGAUGGGCCACUUAAAAUGUAGGAUCCACUUAGUUAUAUGUAGGCUGUAGAUUUCAGGCCCUACUACAAUAGUUUCUGGUCAAUUUAUAAUGCCAUAAAACUCAAAUCUGUUUAAUGUAAUGUACAGUUGUACACUAAUUAACUACUGUGCAGAAGGCUAUAUGGAAAGCUGUAAUAACUUUGUAACUGUGAAGUCCCUUCAAUCUUCAUAGCGUUUUGCUGAACUAUUUCACGUUCCUGUCUCUGUUUUCAGGUUUAUUCUGUUCUCUCACGAGAUGCAACUCGAAGCACAAUGUAUCUUAAGCAAUGGAGUUGAAGUUCUCUGGCUGCCUAUUUUACUCCAGCCUGCACCUACCUGAGAGACUCGGACAAGUAGUUACUAAUGUAUGAAUGUGGAGAAAAGCUGUGUGCAUCCUUCAGGCCCGUUCGGAACCUCUCAACUCAUCAAUGUUGGAGCUGCUAGACAAGUCAUCGUUGAGCCUGCUGGCAGCCGUCCCUCCAGGGAAGCCCUUGCCUAUGUUGGAUGUGGCGGUAUUACGGGUAGAUCUUCGUUGUAUGUAUGGAUCCUUGUGAAGCUGGUGCUAACACCAUGUCGAUUUUUCGCUUCGGAUUGUAGCUCUUUUUGGAAAGGAAGUUUGCAGCGUUCUGUAGCACGAGAUGUACAUGAGUAUCGGCAGGUUCGUUUCUAGUCUGAACGUGCAGACCUUUCGUAAAUGUUCGAAACAAGGGCUAAUGUAGUGGUACAAUGAUGUGUGUUGAGUGCUGAAGCAUUUCUAUGUCGACGCUGCUGCUGAGAGCAUGUCUUAUUCGCAGUCGGGGCAAAAUGUUAUUCCGGCCUCGACUUUCUUCUGCUGCUGCUUUUUUAUGUGUUUUUGUUUGUUUGCAGGAUUUUUUUUAACGAAACAGAGGCCCCCACCUCUGAUUUCUAUUAUUAAAGAAGCCAUCUGAUGGAAAAUUUGCAUCUGGUCCUGAGCACAGCUGAUCCUGAAAUCACGUUCGAUGACUCUUCUGGGGAUGCAUGCGUUUUCUGUAUUCCAUACUGUAUGCGACAAGCAUAUUGCCAUAGUAUUUCAGGGCAGGGCCCACGCAUUAAUUUGCUGCUCAGCCACUCCGUCAGACCAGUACAGGAUACUCGUGGAUGGAUCAGGUUUCUUCCUGCGUCUCCCUGUUCCGGUGCGACACUGCGUGUUGACGAACGCAGUGAACGGCAACCUACCAGCCGGUGGGGUGGAUAAGUAAUCGUAGGUCCCAGUCCCCACCCCUCCAGACUCGAGAAAAAUCCAUCCCUGCCGCCGCCGCUACCUGCCGGUUGUUCUUCAUCGUGCGCAUAGGCCACAUACACCCACGUAGGCCAAUUUGACAGGGAACAAGUGCAGCCAAAUUAGUGAAUCAACCAAACUAGUGCAGCUCGCAUAACGCACACAACACUAGAAUUAGCACGGCCGACGAUGCUUGUCUAACAGAAAGACACAAACUACAGCAGUGUGUAUUAGCCGAUGAUUACUAGAAGUGUACAAAAAGACACAGGAUUCAGUAAACUCAAUGUUUUGCUUGGUUUCUUGCUCAUUCAAAAAGUGUACAGAAAGAAACAAGACAUAAGAUUCAGUGUACAGCCAGAGAACCCUCAAAAUUAUUCUGAAACAUGAUGCCCAUUCAGUAAACUCAACAUUGUAAACAUGAUGCCCAAUCAGUAAACUCAACAGGAUUACAAACUACUGCUUAGUUUCUUGCUUCCUGCUGUUUUGCUUGGAAGACUUGGCCUGGCACAAAAUGGAAAUAGGUUGAUUGUCAGUGAGAUGAACAAGAGAACUGAUGCAUUGGCAGAUGGUUAUUGGCAUGAUCGAAAAUAUUGUAGACAGAUGGUCAUGCUCACAUAUUUGAAUCCAGAUGGUAAAUAAUUAUUUGUGCAAACCAAAUUUAAUUCGAGCAUGAGGUUUGGAGAUUGUUUCUCUUCUAGGAUGUGAAUUCACAGAUAAUUCUGUACUUGGAAAUCACCAUAUGAAUGCUCAACUAUACUAUGUCUUCACAAAAGGCAGUUUAAUUAGCAGAAGAGUUUUGAAUAAAGUGUACUAGGAUCUUAUAUUUUAACUCGUGUAUAUCUUUUUUUAGAUCGGUUGCUGUAUAAUUUGAAAGGUUUGCACUUUUUCUUGAAGAGAAAAGGAUGUGUGGCUUAAUAUGGCUACUACCUGAAAAAGACUUCCACAAGUAUGACUAGGAUUGAUAUGGACAGUUAAACUUCUCACAUAUUUACCUGUUAGGUGCGAAAAGCAAUUAAGUUCAGAACACUGGCCUCCCCCUCAAGUGUCGGGCAUUAGCAAGUACUGAUUCCAAUCUUACUAUUUUCUAAGUUAGCUAUCAGUUUGACAAUUUCCCAGCAGCUUUAAGAAGUCAUACAGAAAACUUGAGUAAGAUACGAGAUAGAAAUCUACUGUAUGUUGUGCAAGUUCCCGAGCAAUUGCAAUGAAAUGAUUAAGGAAAGAGCAAGCUGUCAAGUUGUCCAUCCGCGAACAAUUAGCAAAGUUUACUGUCUGAACAGCUGUAUAGAUCUACAAUUGUUUUUUGAAUGGAGUGGGAUGACAGGAACUUUAUGACAAGUACCUUGUAUGCUUUUAGCACUAACUAGACCCUAUCAAAAGAAUCUGAGCAGUGCCCUGAAAAAAGGAUUCAAAGGUUCAGUUCUCACUGGACUCAAAAUACCAGCAUCCUGGUUCUCACUGGAUUCAAUGGUUCAGUUCUCACAAAUCACCAAUACUGCCUUGUUGAUUUUUCUAGGACUAGUGACUGCAGAAUCGUUUGUUUCUAGAAAACAAAUUAGCCAAGAAUAAUAUCAUUUGACCACUGAACCAUCACAUAAACAAGGUUGUUUUCUGAAAACAGACACUACAUAUGCAAUUCACACUACAGAAGUUCAGAGUAAUUCUUAAGCAUGUAAUGGUACUUGAAAAAAGAUAUGUAUUUGCUAAAGCAUGUACAACAGUACAAGUUACAUUUUUGAGUGCCUUUUGAGAUGCUAAAGCAUGUGUAAUUGAAUUUUUUUGAGGUCAUUAGCAUUUGAACACUUCCAUAAUUCUGAUGGGAAUACCUUGGUGAGGAUCUUGAUGAGGCUUUUCUCUUGGAAUCCUUCGUUCUUGGAGGAUCUUGAUGGGGGCCUUUCGGAUGUGGACGGCGACCGAACAACAGCUCCAGUGUCCGAGGGAGGCAGGGCAGGAAGAACAUCUUCAGUUCGUGAGGUAUCUCGCUUGAUCCUGCUUUCCUCAUCACCUUGUACUCGGUAGGUAAAUUCUGGAUCGUUCCGUUGUAUCCCUUUGAAUACAGCUAGUGUCUUAUUUCCAUCAUCGUCAGUCUGGUCUUGACUUAUCCGGCCACACAGAUUGCGCAACGUCCGUUUUGUUGAAGGCACAUUCUGGGUUGAACCAAAGAAGCUGCCAACCAUGUUGUGCCUUGUUCAAGUUCACAUUGUACACAUUUAUGUGCUUGUGGAUGGCCAAUGAACUUUCUCACCGCAAGUAAGAGACAGUGAAUGGUUGUGGCUUGACCAGUGUUCAGCAAUGAGCCAUCAUUGUCUGCACCUGUAAGUAAUCUCAUCAUUGCAGGGCACUCGCACCGGUAAGAUCGGUUAUUUUGCUGCUCAGGCUUCCCCUGCAAAAAAAAUGUUUUCUCCGUGUCAAAUUUUAAAAAUGAAUUCCCGUGCAAUCAAUAUGUUAAAAAACUGCCAAAUCUUUUCUUUUCGGCUCUUAACUCUUAAGUGCUAACUGAGCAUCCAUAAACAAUCUCCUGCAUACACUUUGUCCGCUCGAUGUUCAGCCAUCCCUUGCCAUAUCGUAUAUCAAAUCCAAGCUCCCAAGAAUACAGGUUAUAGAAAUCGUAUGCUUCCCCGAGUGAGUCAAAACUCAUCCCAAUCUCUGGCUUCACUACAUUGUCUGAGAGUUUAUCAGCGUACCUCCUGAUUGUUUCUUCUAAUGGAGUGACUAUACCUGGAUAGGGUACCCUGUCUGGAGGGUCACGUCCUACUCUCAAGUCUUAACCUGAAAUUGAAUUCACAGUUUUGAGAUGAUGCAAUCCUUUCACAUAUAACAGUGGGGCGUGAUUUUUGUGCAUCAGCACAUUUGGACGUAAUGAUCUGUCCACAAACCGCUAUGUAUGCUAAUUACGCGCAUGGAUGAGGAUGACGACCAAAAUCAGGGGGUCAGCUAGUUGACAGUAGUAGUAAUGUCCCUGGACAUCUAUCAACACAGGCACUAAAAAUAAAAAUAAAACAUGAAUCCAGAGAGAAAGAACAUUGAAUUUUAUGUAUACCAUCUGGUUCACCCAGGUGCCUCUGGGUUCACCUUCCCGGUCGACUCACGGGCUAGGUUUGCUAUUGCUUCCUCCUGCCAGCGUGAUCGUUCUGCUCAGCAACGCCGCCAAGUUGUCCAACCACACCCGCACACGACGAGUCAGCGUUUGCCGGUGCGGGUGGCUCAACGGACGUCAACACCAAUGGAUCUGGCUGCUCAACAUCCGCAGUGACCUCUCUGAGCGGGAGCCUAUGGCAUGUUCAACAAACCGAAGACCAGUCAUUGACUAUUUCCGCUCACGCGUCUUCGGAUCGAAUCGAACAGAAUAAUACGGUGGAGAAAUUACCUGUCAAUCAGAUCCAGCAGAUAUCCGAGCCCAUUGUGGCGUAGGUCCGCAAACUCCGCCAUAUUGCUCGCCGCCACCAUUGAUUUGCCCUCCGCCGUCGAGCUAGGGGGAAGGGCUCAACUGAGUAGAUGGGAACCGAGGUGUGUUUUUUUUCUUAAAGCUGACCGAGAUAUUUUUGCUGCCCCACGCUUCAUCUGCCGUCAGCGUUUACUGAACCUUGACGGUGAUGUUUUUGCAGCAAACGGCGCGCAUACGUUUCUGAUCCCCGCACAUCUUUUCGUUACGGAGGCGAGCCACGGCGUCAAGGUAACCUGAAUUUCAAUAAACGAGCCCGCAGGCUACCGUACAUCACUGUUCCUCAUAGUAUAGCGUCAGAUGGCUGCAUUUUCUUACACCCGUAUAUCCUAAAGAUGGACCCAUUAGUCUAGAUCUCUAGAGAUGGACCUAGGGCCAGGAUAACAUGUCCAGAUGCCACCCCUACCAGUAACGCCACUCUCCCAUCUGAUUCAUUACAUAGACCUACUCAAAGAACUACCAGCAUAUCAUCAUCAAAAGCCUGAAAGCAAACCCGCUAAACAGGCAGCAAACACCAGACUCCAUACUCACAUUGCAUGGCAAUGAAACAUCACCAUACUUGUAUUACAUGCCCAUGAAACAUCACCAGACCAUGCGACACUGGAGUAGCUAUGAGGCAGCAAAAGAGAACUCAUGCAUCCAAGAGCAAGAUCACCAUAGAAGCUGCAAAGGAGGUCGAAGUUGAAGAAGCUUCAGCCAUGGAGCUGAAAAACUCCAGGAUGCCACCCUUGAGAUGCUCGGCAAACUUCACUUACAUGCUCUAUGAUUUUUGCUCCCAGCAUCAACACCUUUUGACUUUCCUCCUUUAUCUGCCACAAGGCCCAACAUUAUCCAAUGACUAGUCAUUUUUAUCAAUAUAACAGAAUCAUUACUGACCAUCCUUUCAAAUACUAUGUCAUUUCUACAUCUCAAAAUUAUCCAAAAUAUAGCAGCAACACGGAGGGGAACUUUUGGUCUAUGGGGACAUAUGCACCCUAUAUGGGAAAAAAAAUUAGUAAUUCAACAAAAAGUCAAAAAUUCCUGAAAAUAUUUUUAAAAUAAACUUGACCUUCUAUUGUACUCGUGAGCUGCUAGACAAGUCAUCGUUGAGCCUGUUGGCAGCCGUCCCUCCAGGGAAGCCCUUGCCUACGUCGGAUGUGGCGGAUCUUCGUUGUAUGUAUUUAUCCUCGUGAAGCUGGUGCUAACACCAUGUCGAAUUUUCAAUUAGGAUUGUAGCUCUUUUUGGAAAGGAAGUUUGCAGCGUUCUGUAGCACGAGAUGUACAUGAGUAUCAGCAGGUUCGUUUCUAGUCUGAACGUGCGGACCUUUUGUAAAUGUUCACUUCAAAACAAGGGCUAAUGUAGUGGUACAAUGCUGUGUGUUGAGUGCUGAAGCAUUUCUAUGUCGACGCUGCUGCUGAGAGCAUGUCUUAUUCGCAGUCGGGGCAAAAUGUUAUUCCGG
RNAcentral lists this long non-coding RNA (6416 nucleotides) under Triticum aestivum (bread wheat). Its description in RNAcentral is "long non-coding RNA (TAES_LNC025074)". The record is from RNAcentral. Lineage: Eukaryota; Viridiplantae; Streptophyta; Magnoliopsida; Poales; Poaceae.